RNAcentral lists this long non-coding RNA (1118 nucleotides) under Olea europaea subsp. europaea. Lineage: Eukaryota; Viridiplantae; Streptophyta; Magnoliopsida; Lamiales; Oleaceae. The record is from RNAcentral.
ACAGAGGACUGAGUUUUGUGAAAUUUUUCUCUUAAAUGAAAGGAAGACAUUAUUUUUUGUGUUGACAAAAGUCGUAAAUUGUUUGUAAAAUAAAUACUCUUUCUGUGGACAAUCCAUCAAAUUGCAAAAAGAAGUGAAAAAAUUUCUGUAUCGACGGAGGAAAGGGACUUCAAGCGGGAGAUUGAGGAGUCGAAGGCUAAGGUGAAGUUUCUGUAACUUUUUUUUUCUACUUUUGUCUUCCCUUCAAAUUUGUUCAUUAUUGAGUUUUAUAAAAAUAAUAUUUAACCUGUUGUUGCUAAAUCUGUUUGUUGAGUUUGUUUUUAUUUUUGAAAAUUAGUAUUUAUUUUAUACUUCUUUUAACAUUUGAGAAACUGUAAUGGUUAUUUAUAGAUAAGUUAUAUUUGUUUCGUGAUUUUGAAAAGCAGGGAAGUGAUGAAUUUUUGCUAAAUUUGUGAGUACUGUUUUAUGGAUUGAAGACUUGUUAAAAUUAUUCUUCAAGAUUUAUUAUUUUCUUUUUGUAGUGCAUUAAUUAAUAUUUUUUGUAAUAAUUAUUUGAUGGAAUUAUAAAAUAGCUUAGAAUGAAUGAAAGGAAAAGAAAUAACAUAUAAUGAAGAAUGAUAUGGUUAACUAUUUUUUUAGAAUUUUAGAAUUUACAACGACAGAUUGAAUAACAUUAUCAAAUAUUUUUACUGUAUGGACAUAUUAUCUAUUAUAGAAGUGAAUGGAUAAAAAUUAGAAAAGGUAGAGAAAGAAGAAAGCAUUAAAUGCAGUUUGUCAAAAUGAAAAUAUUGGCUUGGGAAAUGAGUAUUGUGUUAAUCGUGUAUCUAUACUAUUGUAGAUUAACGAAGAAAUUUGUGCGUAUGAUUUUUGAUAUAAUAUAGGAAUAAUGACAGUUUUGAAAAGUUAUUAUAUUUAAACUAUAUGUUUUUGCAAGAUGAACCGUCUGAAAUUUCAAAUUUUUUAUUUUUUUAAUUUUUUUCUGUCUUUCGUUUUAACUAUAACUGUAACUAAACUAUUUAAUUGUUUAGCAUGAGUUCAAGCAUCUAAAAAAAGUUAAAUUUUAGUUUAUUUUUUAACUUAUUUUUUUGUUUGUUUAUUUGUAUAGUUAAAUACUUUUU